Molecule: ribosomal RNA, 260 nt
Filed under: uncultured bacterium
Lineage: Bacteria
Description: partial 16S ribosomal RNA
Rfam family: Bacterial small subunit ribosomal RNA
Source: RNAcentral
AGCGGCGGACGGGUGAGUAACGCGUGGGUAACCUGCCUUAUACAGGGGGAUAACAGUUAGAAAUGACUGCUAAUACCGCAUAAGCGCACAGUACCGCAUGGUAGUGUGUGAAAAACUCCGGUGGUAUAAGAUGGACCCGCGUCUGAUUAGCCAGUUGGCGGGGUAACGGCCCACCAAAGCGACGAUCAGUAGCCGACCUGAGAGGGUGACCGGCCANAUUGGGACUGAGACACGGCCCAAACUCCUACGGGAGGCAGCAG